CGGGGUGAGUAACGCGUGAGGAACCUGCCUCAGAGUGGGGGAUAACACACCGAAAGGUGUGCUAAUACCGCAUAACAUAUGGGAGGGGCAUCCCUUUCAUAUCAAAGAUUUAUUGCUCUGAGAUGGCCUCGCGUCCAAUUAGCUAGUUGGCGGGGUAACGGCCCACCAAGGCGACGAUUGGUAGCCGGACUGAGAGGUUGAACGGCCACAUUGGGACUGAGACACGGCCCAGACUCCUACGGAAGGCAGCAG
Molecule: ribosomal RNA, 252 nt
Filed under: uncultured bacterium
Lineage: Bacteria
Description: partial 16S ribosomal RNA
Rfam family: Bacterial small subunit ribosomal RNA
Source: RNAcentral